CCUACGGGUGGCAGCAGUGAGGAAUAUUGGUCAAUGGGCGAGAGCCUGAACCAGCCAAGUCGCGUGAGGGAGUACUGCCCUAUGGGUUGUAAACCUCUUUUGUCGGGGAGCAAAAGCCGGACGUGUCCGGCUGUGAGAGUACCCGAAGAAAAAGCAUCGGCUAACUCCGUGCCAGCAGCCGCGGUAAUACGGAGGAUGCGAGCGUUAUCCGGAUUUAUUGGGUUUAAAGGGUGCGCAGGCGGAUUUUUAAGUCAGCGGUAAAAUCGUGGGGCUCAACCCCAUCCAGCCGUUGAAACUGGGGAUCUAGAGUGUGCGAGAGGUAUGCGGAAGGCGUGGUGUAGCGGUGAAAUGCAUAGAUAUCACGCAGAACCCCGAUUGCGAAGGCAGCAUACCGGUGCACAACUGACGCUCAGGCACGAAAGCGUGGGUAUCGAACAGGAUUAGAUACCCCUGUAGUC
Molecule: ribosomal RNA, 458 nt
Filed under: uncultured bacterium
Lineage: Bacteria
Description: partial 16S ribosomal RNA
Rfam family: Bacterial small subunit ribosomal RNA
Source: RNAcentral